AUAGCGUAUAUUAAAGUUGUUGCAGUUAAAAAGCUCGUAGUUGAACUUCAGACCUGGCUGGACGGUCUGCCGAAAGGUAUGUACUGUCCGGCUGGGCCUUACCUCUUGGUGAGCCGGCAUGCCCUUCACUGGGUGUGUUGGGGAACCAGGACUUUUACCUUGAGAAAAUUAGAGUGUUCAAAGCAGGCUUAUGCUCGAAUACAUUAGCAUGGAAUAAUAAAAUAGGACGUGCGGUUCUAUUUUGUUGGUUUCUAGAGUCGCCGUAAUGAUUAAUAGGGAUAGUUGGGGGCAUUAGUAUUCCGUUGCUAGAGGUGAAAUUCUUGGAUUUACGGAAGACUAACUUCUG
This 346-nucleotide ribosomal RNA is filed under the name uncultured eukaryote. Its description in RNAcentral is "SSU rRNA". It matches the Rfam family "Eukaryotic small subunit ribosomal RNA", at positions 594 to 945 of the family's 1831-position model. The record is from RNAcentral.